This is a long non-coding RNA of Zingiber officinale, 545 nucleotides long. RefSeq lists it as uncharacterized. Lineage: Eukaryota; Viridiplantae; Streptophyta; Magnoliopsida; Zingiberales; Zingiberaceae. The record is from RefSeq and is a predicted model, not a curated record. The transcript is spliced from 2 exons.
CGGUAGAAAGCCGUCGUUCCGCUUUAUAAUGAGUGCUAGGGUUUCUUGUUCUAUCUAUAAAUACCUACUUAAUCCUUCAGUAUCGUCGUACAACUCGAUUUCGUGUCCUAACUUGUUCUGCAAACUAGGGUUUCCGGCUCAGCUUCCUUCGUUCUCGUAGUCGUUAUCCUUUAUGGCAAGCGAAGUUUUCUCAUCAUUCAGGGUCUGUAGCAGUGCCUCCAUCAGAAGAUGAAGGCUUUUGUUCAAUCAAUUCGCUUCUGUUCUCGCUGAGUGCAAUACGGAAUAUUGCUAGUGUCUCACCACCAUUGAUACUCACCACCGCCCUCAUCUGAUGGAUGUAGCGAUCCAUGUCGCCACUCAAAUUUCCUGUUAUUCUAAUAAUUACUUAAGUUGAAUUUGUCCUCUAAUUCGUUUGUUGUAAUAUUUGAGUGUAUUUUCGAGUGAUUUCAUAAAAGUAGUUCUAUUUUUCUUUUGACAGUUGAUUGUUAAAUCCUCCAAUCUAAAUGUUCUACUAGAACAAUACACUCUUUUCCCACCAAUUUUAC